Molecule: unclassified non-coding RNA, 277 nt
Filed under: Hevea brasiliensis (rubber tree)
Lineage: Eukaryota; Viridiplantae; Streptophyta; Magnoliopsida; Malpighiales; Euphorbiaceae
Source: RNAcentral
UGGGUAUUCACAUGACGAGAUUCUGGGAAAAAAAGAAGACAGCGAAAAGGUUACUAGUGAGGAGGGGGGAAGCUUCUUUGAUUGCAAUAUAUGUCUAGACUUGUCGAAAGAACCUGUUGUGACUUGUUGUGGUCACUUGUUUUGUUGGCCAUGUCUUUAUCGGUGGUUACAUCUCCAUUCAGAUGCAAAGGAAUGCCCUGUUUGUAAAGGGGAAGUGACUAUGAAGAAUGUAAUCCCAAUUUAUGGACGUGGAACUAAUGUGCGAGAGCCUGAAGAG